RNAcentral lists this ribosomal RNA (1163 nucleotides) under uncultured Flavobacteriaceae bacterium. Its description in RNAcentral is "bacterial SSU rRNA". It matches the Rfam family "Bacterial small subunit ribosomal RNA", at positions 37 to 1198 of the family's 1533-position model. Lineage: Bacteria; Pseudomonadati; Bacteroidota; Flavobacteriia; Flavobacteriales; Flavobacteriaceae. The record is from RNAcentral.
UAAACGGAGUCUACACAUGCAGUCGAACGGUAACAGGGAAAAGCUUGCUUUUCCGCUGACGAGUGGCGCACGGGUGCGUAACGCGUAUGGAACCUACCCUUUACAGGGGGAUAGCCCGGAGAAAUCCGGAUUAAUACCCCGUAGUAUUAUGAUACGGCAUCGUAUUAUAAUUAAAGUUUCGGCGGUAGAGGAUGGCCAUGCGUCCUAUUAGUUAGAUGGUGAGGUAACGGCUCACCAUGGCAUCGAUAGGUAGGGGCCCUGAGAGGGGGAUCCCCCACACUGGUACUGAGACACGGACCAGACUCCUACGGGAGGCAGCAGUGAGGAAUAUUGGACAAUGGUCGAGAGACUGAUCCAGCCAUGCCGCGUGCAGGAAGACGGCCCUACGGGUUGUAAACUGCUUUUGUACGGGAAGAAUAAUGCCCACGUGUGGGCAGAUGACGGUACCGUACGAAUAAGGACCGGCUAACUCCGUGCCAGCAGCCGCGGUAAUACGGAGGGUCCGAGCGUUAUCCGGAAUCAUUGGGUUUAAAGGGUCCGCAGGCGGAUCAGUAAGUCAGAGGUGAAAGUUUGCAGCUCAACUGUAAAAUUGCCUCUGAUACUGCUGGUCUUGAGUUACGAUGAAGUGGCUGGAAUAUGUGGUGUAGCGGUGAAAUGCAUAGAUAUCACAUAGAACACCGAUUGCGAAGGCAGGUCACUAAUCGCCAACUGACGCUGAUGGACGAAAGCGUGGGGAGCGAACGGGAUUAGAUACCCCGGUAGUCCACGCCGUACACGAUGGACACUAGCUGUUGGGCCUUUGGUUCAGUGGCUAAGCGAAAGUGAUAAGUGUCCCACCUGGGGAGUACGUCGGCAACGAUGAAACUCACAGGAAUUGACGGGGGGCCCGCACAAGCGGUGGAGCAUGUGGUUUAAUUCGAUGAUACGCGAGGUACCUUAUCAGGUCUUAAAUGUAACUGCGACACGCUUAGAGAUAGGCUUUUUCUUCGGACUCAUUACAACGUGCUGCAUGCUUGUCGUCAGCUCGUGAGGUGAGCUGUCAGUUAGUCCUAUACCGAGCGCAGCCCCUAUCGUUAGCUGCAUGCGGGCUAAAGGCAGAGGAACUCUACGAACUGACUGAGCAAUCGUGCAGCAGCUGGGCAUGAACGUCUAAUCAAUCACGG